Molecule: small RNA, 102 nt
Filed under: Arabidopsis thaliana (thale cress)
Lineage: Eukaryota; Viridiplantae; Streptophyta; Magnoliopsida; Brassicales; Brassicaceae
Description: ATSL026120
Source: RNAcentral
UUUUUUUAUAAGUUUAAAUAUUAGUUGUGAAAUAGUUGUGAUUGUGAUUUUAUGCCGAAAAAGUUAUGGACUUUUAAUUUCAUGGAAUAUUCAAACUAGUAU